AUGGGAGGUUCCACAUCAAGAGACACAGUAACAACUACUACAGUUGCUACUACUACUCCUACUACCACGAUUACAACCACACAUGUCCCCACAACCUUCCAUGUCCCUUACAUGAGGUUUGAGGAGAAAUAUUUUAUUGCUCUAUCUUGUGUUGCAUCUCUUCUUUUUGUGGCAUUAGCAAUAACAGCAGUGUGUCAUUAUUGUUGGAAGACAUUACCUGGAGCAAAAGUGAGUAACCAAGAAACGAAUGAAAGUGAUCCUGAGACUCCUGCCAAUGCACAGACUAAUAAUUACCGGGACAGCAGCACUUCUGGAGAUAAGGACAGUGAAUGUGUCAUCUACGCUAACGUGACGAGUGUGGGAGGCGUUCCCCAGACUCUGUUGGUGACAGAGGCUACGGAGUAUGCCACGGUGAAGGUCUGAGCCAGUGAUGUCAGUCUUUCUCAAGUUUGUUCACUGUUGGAGGACAUUGCUGGGUGUUUGCAAGAUAAGCAUGCACCACUAGAGUGCGCUGUAGACGAGUUGCACUUUCAUCCUGUUCAGGUCAUCUCUAGUCAUUCAUCAUUGGUCAAUAAUAAAGCAAACUGUGAUCAACUGUCAGUCAAGUAUUCUAAAGGGUUAAAUAGUUUGUGAAUAUAUUUAUUUAAUUCUGUGUUUUGUUUGUGAACAAAUUCAAUUGUGUGACUACUUACUAAAUAAAGAUUGGCCUCUUGCCCUGAAUAUUUAAUUCAUUACACACAAAUUUUUCACUCUUUAAAAAAUACAACUCUUUGAUUCAAAUGUACUGAACUCAGUAUCCAUGUCUGAUUUAGCAGAAGUGGCUACUGAAAAUGUCUGGGCGGCCAAAUGCAAGUCUCAGAUCCUAGUGCAGUGAACGUGUGGUGGAU
Long non-coding RNA from Denticeps clupeoides (denticle herring), 887 nucleotides. The record is from Ensembl. NCBI's taxonomy places the organism in Eukaryota, Metazoa, Chordata, Actinopteri, Clupeiformes, Denticipitidae.